CCUACGGGAGGCAGCAGUGAGGAAUAUUGGUCAAUGGGCGCGAGCCUGAACCAGCCAAGUCGCGUGAGGGAUGACGGUCCUACGGAUUGUAAACCUCUUUUGCCGGGGAGCAAGCGUGCGUUCGUGAACGCGCGUCGAGAGUACCCGGAGAAAAAGCAUGGGCUAACUCAGUGCCAGCAGCCGCGGUAAUACGGAGGAUGCGAGCGUUAUCCGGAUUUAUUGGGUUUAAAGGGUGCGUAGGCGGGAGGCCAAUUCAGCGGUAAGAAUGCGGUGCUCAACGCCGUCGAGCCUUUGAUACUGGCGUUCUUGAGUGGGCGAGAAGUAUGCGGAAGGCGUGGUGUAGCGGUGAAAUGCAUAGAGAUCACGCAGAACUCCGAUUGCGAAGGCAGCAUAUCGGGGCCCUACUGACGCUGAGGUACGAAAGCGUGGGUAUCGAACAGGAUUAGAUACCCGUGUAGUC
This 460-nucleotide ribosomal RNA is filed under the name uncultured bacterium. RNAcentral's name for it is "partial 16S ribosomal RNA". It matches the Rfam family "Bacterial small subunit ribosomal RNA", at positions 338 to 795 of the family's 1533-position model. The record is from RNAcentral.